CUAAAAUCAGUUACUUUAGAAAAGAUGACCCAAGAAUGAUACAGAGAAGAUUAGCAUGGCCUGUCCACAAGGAUAACAUACCAAUUUGUGAAGCAUUCCAUAUUAAA
Non-coding RNA from Erinaceus europaeus (western European hedgehog), 107 nucleotides. The record is from Rfam. Lineage: Eukaryota; Metazoa; Chordata; Mammalia; Eulipotyphla; Erinaceidae.